UUUGGUGGCGAUAGCGAAGAGGUCACACCCGUUCCCAUACCGAACACGGAAGUUAAGCUCUUCAGCGCCGAUGGUAGUCGGGGGGUUCCCCCUGUGAGAGUAGGACGCCGCCAAGC
RNAcentral lists this ribosomal RNA (116 nucleotides) under Klebsiella pneumoniae. RNAcentral also lists the same sequence under 31 other names. Lineage: Bacteria; Pseudomonadati; Pseudomonadota; Gammaproteobacteria; Enterobacterales; Enterobacteriaceae. The record is from RNAcentral.